UGGGGAAUAUUGGACAAUGGGCGAAAGCCUGAUCCAGCCAUGCCGCGUGUGUGAAGAAGGUCUUCGGAUUGUAAAGCACUUUAAGUUGGGAGGAAGGGCAUUAACCUAAUACGUUAGUGUCUUGACGUUACCGACAGAAUAAGCACCGGCUAACUCUGUGCCAGCAGCCGCGGUAAUACAGAGGGUGCAAGCGUUAAUCGGAAUUACUGGGCGUAAAGCGCGCGUAGGUGGUUUGUUAAGUUGGAUGUGAAAUCCCCGGGCUCAACCUGGGAACUGCAUUCAAAACUGACUGACUAGAGUAUGGUAGAGGGUGGUGGAAUAUCGUGGGUAGCGGUGAAAUGCGUAGAUAGAGGAAGGAACACCAAAGGCGAAGGCGACAACCUGGACUGAUACUGACACUGAGGUGCGAAAGCGUGGGGAGCAAAC
This 426-nucleotide ribosomal RNA is filed under the name uncultured bacterium. Its description in RNAcentral is "bacterial SSU rRNA". It matches the Rfam family "Bacterial small subunit ribosomal RNA", at positions 355 to 773 of the family's 1533-position model. The record is from RNAcentral.